AGUGUUUCUGUUAACAACAUGCAAUUCUUCAUCUUAAAAUAAUAAGAAAAGCAAAGAGGGACAUGAUAAAGAAAACUGACAGGUCAAAUCCCAAAGUUUAUAUAAGUGAAUUAAGUUCUCUGCAAUUUGAAAUACCCUUUCAUGUGGGCAAAAGAACUAACAAAAACAGGCCCUACUUCAAAUAAUAUCAAUCAAAUACUCCCAGAAACAAAGUUCUAUGAAACUGGGAUAACCAAGAUAAGAAAAUAUCUGUCUAUUUAGCAAUAGGAAGACGUAAAUCUUCGAACUAAUGCGUAAGUCCUUGUUUUAACUCAAGUCAUGAACUAAUACUUGGGGAAACAACUAUUUCUAUUUUAUUUCGAAUUGAGAGUUAGAAACCAAUUCUAAUUGUACAAUUAAAAGAAGUUCUUCCAAUAUUAUGUUCUCUCAAUUUUAUUUCCAGAAUAAAAUUCUUAUGAAAGUAGGACACACCACUGAUGUUCUUCACAUAUUGUGCAAGCAAAUAAGAGCAAUGUCGGUUUACGCCCAAAUUGCAAACACAUAUACAAAAAUUAAGUCCUUCAAAAUCUUGAACUCUCUUUCAACAAGAAAAGUGAUACCGACUGCUAUUCCAAAGUUCUUUAUUCUUUUCACAAUCUGUUAAUGUGCAACAAAAAAAAUUUGCAACGAACAGUAUAUUAAAGAUACUUCUCACACAGUAUUUUACAUUGAGACAAUCAACAACUACGAGCAAACAACGCAGGCUCUAAUACUAUUGAUAGUUUAAUAAUCGCGGGGCAAGAACAAUAUUAGCGUACCUGUCAACAACGCAGCGGACAUAGAGUUGCAAUUUUUUGAACUCACCACCAAAAUAAUAGCCCCUAAUCGCAUUCUGAAUCUCAACAGAGUUUUUGUUCACAAACUAAAUGCCUAAAGUUUACUGUGUUCUUUCUUUUUUCUUGCCAGGGAAAUCUUUGUACAGAAGAGAAAUAUAUAGAGAUGAGGAAAUGAGGAGAACUGCCGAUAACUUUUCCUGUUUCCACGCCCCCACUACUUUUUAACGAAAACGUACCACUAGACGAGGUUUUCCAGAAUCUGAGGUGUAGCAGAGAGGGGCUUACUUCUCAAGAUGCUCAGAGGAGACUUCAAAUUUUUUGUUAUAAUAAGCUUGAGGAGAAGCAUGUAUACAUUUCUCUCUUAUUUUCCUCUUAAUUCAUCUUGUUUAUGUAAAGCUCUGUCUUUGGAAUUAUAAGUUAAUUUGGCUUAUUUGA
This is a non-coding RNA of Nicotiana tabacum (common tobacco), 1250 nucleotides long. Lineage: Eukaryota; Viridiplantae; Streptophyta; Magnoliopsida; Solanales; Solanaceae. The record is from RefSeq and is a predicted model, not a curated record.